Molecule: RNA transcript, 10511 nt
Organism: Numida meleagris (helmeted guineafowl)
Lineage: Eukaryota; Metazoa; Chordata; Aves; Galliformes; Numididae
Gene name: low-density lipoprotein receptor-related protein 6
Exons: 24
Source: RefSeq, a predicted model, not a curated record
AUUCUGUUUUUAAAAUAAUUAUAGGUUCAUGUAUUGGACAGACUGGGGAGAAGUGCCAAAGAUAGAACGUGCUGGGAUGGAUGGUUCAAGCCGCUCCAUUAUAGUCAACACGGACAUUUAUUGGCCAAAUGGACUGACACUGGAUUAUGAGGAACAGAAACUUUAUUGGGCAGAUGCUAAACUGAAUUUCAUCCACAAAUCAAAUCUCGAUGGAAGUCAUCGGCAAGCAGUGGUUAAAGGCUCUCUUCCACAUCCUUUUGCUUUGACACUGUUCGGGGACACAUUGUACUGGACGGACUGGAACACGCAUUCCAUCUUGGCCUGCAGCAAGUACUCCGGGGAGGACCUGCGUGAAAUACAUUCCAACAUCUUCUCACCCAUGGAUAUUCAUGCUUUCAACCAGAAGAGGCAGCCAAAUGCUACAAACCCAUGUGGAAUUAAUAAUGGUGGCUGCUCCCACUUAUGUCUGAUGUCUCCUACCAAGCCCUCUUAUCAGUGUGCAUGUCCCACUGGUGUGAAACUUCUGGAGAAUGGAAAGACCUGCAAUGAUGGUGCCACUGAAUUGCUGCUUCUAGCCCGCCGGACAGAUUUGAGGCGCAUUUCCUUAGACACUCCAGAUUUUACAGACAUCGUUUUGCCACUGGAGGACAUCCGUCAUGCAAUCGCCAUUGACUUUGAUCCUCUGGAAGGGUACAUUUAUUGGACUGACGAUGAAGUUAGGGCCAUCCGUCGCUCAUUCGUCAAUGGGUCAGGUAGCCAGUUUGUUGUCACAGCACAGAUUGCUCAUCCUGAUGGCAUUGCUGUGGACUGGGUUGCCCGAAAUCUGUAUUGGACUGACACUGGCACUGACCGCAUAGAAGUUACAAGGCUUAAUGGGACCUUGAGAAAAAUCUUGAUAUCGGAAGACCUGGAAGAACCUAGAGCUAUUGUGCUGGAUCCUACAGUAGGGUACAUGUACUGGACUGACUGGGGAGAAAUUCCAAAGAUCGAGAGGGCAGCAUUAGAUGGCUCAGACAGGAUUGUGCUGGUAAAUACCUCACUUGGGUGGCCAAAUGGACUGGCACUGGAUUAUGCAGAAAGCAAAAUAUACUGGGGAGAUGCGAAAACGGACAAAAUAGAGGUCAUGAAUGCUGAUGGAACUGGGAGAAGAGUUCUUGUAGAGGACAAACUUCCUCAUAUCUUUGGAUUCACAUUAUUGGGAAACUAUGUUUAUUGGACAGAUUGGCAAAGACGCAGUAUUGAACGUGUGCAUAAGCGGACAGCAGAAAGAGAGAUCAUCAUAGAUCAACUGCCUGAUCUAAUGGGCCUCAAAGCUACAAAUGUACGCCAGAUAAUUGGUACAAACCCUUGUGCAGAGGAUAAUGGCGGUUGCAGCCAUCUUUGUUUGUACAGACCACAAGGCCUUCGCUGCGCUUGUCCCAUAGGCUUGGAGCUCAUCAAUGAUAUGAAGACCUGCAUUGUCCCAGAAGCUUUCCUGCUGUUUUCUCGGAGAGCAGAUAUUAGACGCAUCUCUUUAGAAACAAACAACAACAAUGUUGCUAUUCCACUUACUGGAGUUAAGGAAGCUUCGGCUCUGGAUUUUGAUGUGACAGACAAUCGAAUUUACUGGACUGACAUUUCAUUGAAGACCAUCAGCAGAGCAUUUAUGAAUGGCAGCGCACUGGAACACGUUGUAGAGUUUGGCUUGGAUUACCCUGAAGGCAUGGCUGUAGAUUGGCUGGGGAAGAACUUGUAUUGGGCUGAUACUGGAACAAAUCGCAUCGAAGUGUCAAAGCUGGAUGGCCAGCAUCGCCAAGUGUUGGUGUGGAAAGAUCUUGACAGUCCCCGGGCACUGGCAUUGGAUCCUGCAGAGGGAUUUAUGUACUGGACUGAAUGGGGUGGUAAACCGAAGAUUGAUAGAGCUUCUAUGGAUGGCAGUGAGCGGACUACUCUGGUACCAAAUGUGGGACGUGCCAACGGCCUAACUAUUGAUUAUGCUAAAAGACGACUGUACUGGACCGACCUCGAUACCAACCUGAUAGAAUCCUCCAACAUGCUAGGCCUUGACCGUGAGAUUAUAGCUGACGAUUUGCCUCACCCAUUCGGCUUGACUCAGUAUCAGGAUUACAUUUACUGGACAGACUGGAGCCGGCGUAGCAUUGAACGAGCCAACAAAACAAGUGGCCAGAACAGAACUAUCAUCCAAGGGCAUUUGGAUUAUGUUAUGGACAUCCUGGUCUUCCAUUCCUCCAGGCAGGCAGGCUGGAAUGAGUGUGCCUCUAGCAAUGGCCAUUGCUCUCAUCUCUGCUUGGCAGUCCCUGUUGGUGGUUUUGUCUGUGGGUGUCCAGCUCACUACUCCCUGAACUCUGACAACAGGACUUGCAGUGCUCCUACAACCUUUCUUUUGUUCAGUCAGAAGAACGCAAUUAAUCGCAUGGUGAUAGAUGAGCAGCAGAGUCCAGAUAUCAUACUUCCCAUACAUAGUCUCAGAAAUGUUCGAGCCAUCGAUUAUGACCCCCUGGAUAAGCAGUUGUACUGGAUUGAUUCACGGCAGAAUAUCAUUCGGAAGGCACAGGAAGAUGGCAGCCAGAGCCUCACUGUUGUGACAAGUCCAGUUCCCAGUCAGAACCUAGACAUGCAGCCUUAUGACCUGAGCAUUGACAUCUACAGCCGCUAUAUCUACUGGACCUGUGAAGCUACUAAUGUCAUCAAUGUGACACGCCUGGAUGGGAGACCCAUGGGAGUGGUGCUCAAGGGAAGUCAAGACAGACCCAGGGCCAUUGUGGUGAAUCCAGAGAAAGGAUACAUGUAUUUCACCAACCUGCAGGAAAGGUCUCCUAAAAUUGAGAGAGCAGCUUUGGAUGGAACUGAACGAGAGGUCCUUUUUUUCAGUGGUUUGAGCAAGCCUGUAGCCUUAGCUAUUGACAGCCAGCUAGGCAAGUUGUUCUGGGCUGAUUCAGACCUGCGGAGAAUUGAAAGCAGUGACCUUUCAGGUGCUAACCGAGUUGUUUUGGAAGACUCUAAUAUCUUGCAACCUGUGGGACUAACUGUAUUUGAGAACUGGUUGUAUUGGAUUGACAGACAACAGCAGAUGAUUGAAAAGAUUGAUAUGACUGGUCGAGAAGGACGUACAAAGGUCCAAGCUCGUAUUGCACAACUCAGUGACAUUCAUGCUGUGAAAGAGCUUAACGUUCAGGAAUACAGACAGCACCCUUGUUCUCAAGAUAAUGGUGGUUGCUCACACAUUUGCAUUGUGAAAGGCGAUGGGACCACACGCUGUUCUUGUCCAGUCCACCUUGUUUUGCUGCAGGAUGAGCUGUCCUGUGGAGAACCUCCAACAUGCUCCCCUCAGCAAUUCACCUGUUACACAGGUGAGAUUGACUGCAUCCCGGUGGCCUGGCGCUGUGAUGGUUUCACUGAAUGUGAAGACCACAGUGAUGAAAAAAACUGCCCAGUGUGCUCAGACACCCAGUUUCAGUGUGAAAGCGGACAGUGCAUAGACAGUGCCCUCCAGUGCAAUGGAGAAGCAAAUUGCCAGGACAACUCAGAUGAGAAGAACUGUGAAGUGCUUUGUUUAACCAAUCAGUUCCGGUGUGCCAGCGGGCAGUGCAUUGGUAAAAGCAAGAAAUGUGAUCACAACCUGGACUGUAGUGACAGCUCAGAUGAGCAAGGAUGCUACACAACAGAGGAGCCUGCACCACAGCCCAACAACACAAUAGGCUCCAUCAUUGGUGUAAUCCUUACACUUUUUGUGGUUGGAGCAAUGUACUUCAUCUGCCAGAGGGUGCUGUGCCCACGCAUGAAAGGAGAUGGAGAGACAAUGACUAAUGAUUAUGUGGUGCAUGGACCAGCCUCUGUACCUCUUGGUUAUGUGCCUCACCCAAGCUCUUUGUCAGGGUCUCUUCCUGGGAUGUCUCGAGGAAAAUCUGUGAUCAGCUCACUCAGCAUUAUGGGAGGGAGCAGUGGGCCACCCUAUGACAGGGCCCAUGUCACUGGAGCAUCUUCCAGUAGUUCUUCAAGUACUAAAGGCACUUACUUUCCUCCAAUUUUGAACCCACCACCAUCACCAGCUACUGAACGUUCACAUUAUACCAUGGAAUUUGGUUAUUCUUCAAACAGCCCAUCUACUCAUAGAUCUUACAGGCAUAGGCAAGCCACAUAUCACUACUACACAUUCUCAAAUAACAUGCUAUCAGGUGCUGUAUUCAUUCUACCUUGGAAGAUGAGCUGUUAUGUCAGAGCAGCAGUGGCUACCUUUCUACAGAGUCAAUGUUGUAGCAAGCUGGAAGUCUGAAUAGCUGUUAUGGUUUUGUGAUUUUUUGUUGUCGGUAUUCCACAUCAUUACAUCAUGUAAGUGCAACAGAGAAGUAGCAUGGACAAACACCAGAAGGAGAAGGAGCAGCCCUAUCACUGAGACACUUGUUUUAAGUCAUGAAAAAAAAUACUUUUUAGAGGAAGAAUGUACUCCGGAAACAUAAGCUGUGUUCCAGCUGCAGCUCUACCAUGUGUCUUCUUCAUGCCAAUUCCAAAGACUCCAGAGAUAGCAGAACUGGUGAGACUGUUUUUACCGGGCACUAAGUAAGGCAAAGUAAGGGAUGCUGAGGAUUGUGUCUUCCCUUGCACAUGUACGCACUAGCUGAGAUGAGUAGAAGUGCUGGAAUCCUGCCAUUCAUUUUAUAUUAGAGGAAGGCUAGAGCACUGCAGCUUUGUUGUGAUAGGGGGUAGGAAGAAGAAUGUCACUUCAGGAGCGUAAAAGAUGAGAUUUUUUUGGAUCCACCAGCACUGGGAGUGCUUCCCCAAGGAAAAGGUGAGAAUGUAAAAUCAGAUGCUUGUUCCUGGAGGGUAAUUGCUGAAUGUGUUCAACCUGCUUUCACCAAGGAGAUUUUGUAGCUAGCUGAGAAAAGUGCAUUUUGGGUAGAAUUGCCAACUGAAAAGCUGCCAUCUAACAACGGAAAGUUUUCCCUUGAAUCAAAUCUGCUGUCGAAGUACAGUUUAUAAGAAAGCAUGCUGCAGCUGUUUCUGCACCCCUUUCCUUGGUCCAUCAGAUUAGGGAUAUAACACAUGUGUUGGUGAGCUCAGUGACUUUAAAACAAAAAGAGGCAAACAAGAGCAACAACAACAAACUUCUUUCCUUUGUAGAUUCUCUGUGUCUCCAAAACUAGCUUACCUUGUCCAGCCUAUACCAUUUUUCAACGCAAGCUUUGAUGGCAGCUAAAUGUAAACCCCUUCCACAUAGGAAAGACUGUGAGCUACCGCCCCUCCCCUGCUUGCACCCUCUUGCAUAAGGAAAUAGCUUAACAGGAAAAUGUCUGGGAGCUAGAUACUUGCAGAAAUCAGAGGUUGCUUGUCUGAGGGCACUUGGAGAAUAUCUUUUGUGUCUGAGGCAAUGGAAAGGUUUCACAGGGUGAGUGUUCUGUGUGUGACAGUCUUGCCAGAAACUCUUAGCCCUGUCCCCUUGCCAAGAAGAUGGCCAUCUUAACCUGCAGAAGAUGUGGCUGGGGAGGCACAGAUAAGUAACCCACCACCAGCUCCCCCACAUCACUGAAGCAAUGUUUUCCAAACAGCUGAUGAUUCCUGCCAGUGGUUUGCUGAAUGAAGGGAAACAGGUAGCUUUGGUGCCCCUUUGGGUGCUUCUCCAGGGAUACACAUGAAGAGGAAUAAGGAACACAGAGAAGGAGAAGGUGAAUUAAUGAUGCUGGGCACAUGGUAGGAAGGGAAUGGAGAGCAUGCAGCAAUAACUGGUGGUUUUCUAAUAGCAGUAAUGCUGGUAUUGCCUUAAGAAUGGUAUGGCUCAUUAGCAUGGUAGGAAUUUCAGGGGGAAUAGCCUAGGAAGGGAGGAGAAGAGACCAGACUGAGCAGGUUGGGACAAAGAGCCAGUGCAAUCUGGCAGAAAAGAAGGAAGUCCUGUGCUUUGUCUUCCGUCUCUGUGCUAGAAAUGAACUAAUCAUGACAAGGUCUGAGUCUUGUGGGACCAGAGAUGAUUUAAGAGUGACCCCUUCCCACCAUCCCACUUGUACCUAGAGCAGAGAGAACAGGAUGGAAAUAAAAAUACCUUGCUUUUUCCUCCUCCACAUCUAGGGAUGGGUGAGAGUGGGGCAGAAGGGGCAUGCUGAAGGUGCAUAGGGCAUUCCCUGCAUUCAAACCCAAAUUUCUCUGUGUUUCCAUUCAGUCUUUAAAGCAGGAAGAGUACUCCCCAGAAAUAGAGAGGCUCUUCUAAAAUGAAGGCAGAGUGACAAUACCUCCACAUGCCACAGGCUGAUCAGGCACUGGCACAGGCUGCCCUGAGAAACUAUGGAUGCCUCAUCCCUGGAACUUUUAAAGGUUGAGUUAUUUGGGGCCAUGAGCAACCUGAUCUGAUGGGUGGCAACCCUGCCCACAGCAGGGGGGUUGGGACUGGAUGGGUUUUAUGAUCCCUUCCAACCCAAGCCAUUCUAGGAUUCUAUGAAAUGAGUAUCAUAGUUUGGUGAGGUAGAAAACACAACUGCUCUGGGCCACUUUGUCUUCCUCUUCUGAUGUGAGACUAAAAACUACCUGGUGGGAAGAGCCCUUUUUGUGUACUGCCCUGACUACAUUUUUGGGAAUUAAAUGCUCAAGCAAGAGAUAUCUGUUUCCAGGAUCUUGGACUGGCUGGAGGGCAGCAGGUGGUGACAUCAUGCUGGGGAAUUUGGGCAAAGUGUUAAGAAUCAGCCCCAGCAGCCCUGCCUUUAGAAGGGCUGUCCCUCCGACAGCUGACUCUUGCUCAGACUCAUUGACACUUGCGGAAAGCAUUAUAAAAAAUUUCAUGUGAGUUGUGUGUAUGCACUGCCUGCUUCCUGGGCUUCACUCCCCCUGGUUCUUAUCAUGUGGAGUACUUAAUGAAAACCAGAUCUUCGCCUCCUAGGGCAUUUAAUGCAUUUUUGUGGCUCAGUCCUUAACUGAGGCAGCUGUUGUCCCUUCCAUGAUAUCCCAACGUGCUGCUUUGAGAACAGGCACCAUGUUACUGACAUGCUUACUCAGCUUCAGGUAGAAAGUGAGCAGCAGGUGAACCCUUGAGAUAAAGGUCCAGAUCAUGUGCAAAUACACCCAGCACUGAAAAGCUCAUGAAGAAAGGAGCAGAAAGCAUCUCCUACAGUGGACAGGAGGUAAGUGUGUAAAUUAUUUUUUUAUUAAAAUUGCUCAUGAGGCAAUAGAUGCUUGAAAGAAAAUCCUGGUGUAUUUUUUCCUAACUGUCUUUUUCCAAGCAUUCUCUGUUUGCUGGAAACAAAGUCUCUGUAGCAAACACAGGACUCUCUUUCAGCACAGGGGGAGUGUGAACAGGAGGGAAAGACAGGCUUUUUUGUAUUGCUUCAAAACACUUGGCUCCUUUUGCCAUGUGGGUAUUUUCUCUCCUCUCAUGUGAUGUUUGGAUCAUCCUCCAGCUUUACAUGGCUCCAAAAACAGAGAACCAAGAAGAUAGAUGAGAUGUGAUCCUCAUGUCCCCAUUGUUCAUUUCCUUCACUUUAUUUUAUGAUAGUAAUAAAACCCAUCUCAUCCCACGACUGUAAAAAGCAACUGGCAAAGCACCUGUAAGACUAACAGAGCUUAGUAAUUCAGAUUCAUAACUUACUGCAGGCUCUCUGAGGCCUCUAACAUUUGUUUUUGAUUACCUGGUGUUUGUCUUGCUGGUGUGCGCAGUUAGAUACUGGCGCUGUAACCAGGUAUGGAGGGACUGAGUCACCUGUCUGCACUAUGCCACUGGGAGCCAACUUGGAGCAAUGAAAAAUAACAUUGCAAUGACAGCUUUUGGUUUUUUGUUCUUGGAUUGUAUUGGGUUUUCUUGUUUUGCAUGACAUUUUUCCUGAUUGUGUAACUGCAUGAGUUACACAAUAAGAAUUGCUGCAGAGACCAGUUUCAGGGCAGGUAAGACUGCACUGGGCAAGGGAUCUGAAGCAAAAAAGUCUGACAAGAAAGCUCUUUUUAAGGCUUUUUUGAAGCCAGCAUCAGUGCUGUGCUUGUGCUGGGGGCUAGCAGCUCAUGGGUAGGCUGCUGAGCAAGCAGGGGUGGAGCUGGCACACUUGUUUCCCACCCUUGACCUUGACCCUUGGCUGCCAGGCUUUAUAUAGCCUCGGGGAGGGCAGAAGCUAGCUUCUGGCCACAAGGCACAGAGGGUGAGCAGGGUUGCUGCCUGCUGUGAACAGAGAGGGGAGACCAGUGCUCGAGCACAGCCCACACUGCCCAUAAGGUACUGCAGCUAUGGGUGUAGGAGGUGGGUCUCUUUGCUCAGGAGACCAGCUCUCUUAUCGACAGUCUCUGAGACCUCAGGUUCAAACGUGGUCUCCACUAGACAGUGGGCUUCCCCUAGGAAGACUGGCAACACAGAUGGAGGGCCUGCCCAAAAAUGUGGCUGUUCAAGUCUCCAGCUGUGGGGAGUGUCAGGCACUCCCCCCUGCUGCUGCCAGGGGAAGGUGGCAGGAGUUCCACCUGUGUGAGGUGCGAGCAGGUGAAUGAUCUGCUCAGCUUGGUGAUGGAGCUCAAGGAGGAAAUGGAGAGACUAAGGACCUUCAGGGAGUGUAAAUCGGAGGUUGACUGGUGGAGUGACUCACUGGCAUGCUGCAGGGAAGGGUGCUGGGAAGAUACCCCCAGAAAAGUGGUGGACCCCCUGCCCUCACAGUCAGACAGACCUGACAGGUGAGGAGGGUUGGAAGAGAGUCCCGGCUCGGCGUCACAGACGCAUUCCCUGGCUGCCUCCCCAGGUCCCCCUAAGCAAUAGGUUUGGGGCACUGGAAAUUGUAGGGGAGGUGAGUGGGGAGGCGAGGGAGGAUCUGCCUAGGGCGAGGCGGUCAUCCCCAUGCCUUGAGACUGCCUCUGCCAGGAAAGACAGAAGGGUCACUGUGGUGGGCAAUUCCCUUCUCAGGGGAAUGGAGGGCCCCAUAUGCAGACCUGACUCGAUCCACAGGGAGGUGUGCUGCCUCCCUGGGGCCUGCGUCAGGGACAUCACCAAAAAACUCCCAGGUCUGGUUUGCUCCUCUGAUUACUACCCGUUAUUGAUAGUCCAGGCAAGCAGCAAUGAAAUCGCUUGGGGAAGCCUGUGAGAUAUCAAAAGAGAUUUCAGGGGUUUUCAGUGUGAAUUGUUGAGGGAGUGGGAGCACUAGUGGUAUUUCCUUCUCUCCCUUCUGGGGCGGUGAGGGAUACGGAGCAGUCUAGGAGAACACAAGCUUUGAAUAAGUGGCUGAAAGGCUGGUGCUGUCACAGGAACUUUGGGUUCUUUGAUCAUGGGGCGGUUUACUCGGCACCUGGCUUGAUGGCUGCAGACAGGCCUUGCCUGUCUCCAAGGGGAAAGCAGAUCCUAGCCCAGGAGCUGAAAGGGCUCGUUGGGAGAGCUUUAAACUAGGUAUGAGGGGGGAUGGGGAUAAAAUGACACUCACUAGGGUGGAGCGAGUAGUUCAGAAAUUUCAACUAGAUUUGAUGGGGGAAGAGGGUAGUGGUCAGUGGGACAGGAAAGGGCUUGAGGAUGUUGUCGUUGUAGGAGGCUGUGGGGAAAAACCUCUGACUCGUCAUGUAGGAUCUGCUGGGAAUUCCUCAGAGGAGGUAAUGUUGCCGACCCCCUAUCUGAAACCUUCUCGUGUCCCUCUAGGAAGCAGUGGGGGAAAACUUCAGAUUUCUUCUGGAAGUUUGAGGGAGGGCCCUCCUAGAAAGGUAGUGUGCCAGAAAGCCCAGCUGAAGUGCCUUUACACUAACGCACGCAGCAUGGGAAAUAAGCAGGAGGAAUUGGAAACUGUGAUGUGCUUGGAAAAUUAUGAUCUGGUUGCUAUCACAGAAACGUGGUGGGACAAAUCCCACAAUUGGAACACUCUGAUUGAGGGCUACAGACUCUUCGGAAGGGAUAGACAGGGCAGGAAGGGAGGGGGAGUUGCCCUCUAUGUUAGGAAGUGGAUAGAUUGCGAAGAGCUGAGUAACAGCCAUGACCAGGUUGAGAGCUUAUGGGUUAAAAUCAGGGUUCAGUCCAGUAAAGGACAUCUAGUGGCUGGGGUCUGUUACAGGCCACCUGAUCAGGGGGAGCCUGUUGACAAGGCCUUCUUGCUUCAGCUGCAGGAAGUGUCGCAUUCACGGGCUCUUGUCCUGAUUGGGGAUUUCAACCACCCAAAUACCUGCUGGGAUAGUGGCACAGUGGGCGGCAGACAAUCCAGGAGAUUCCUGGAGUCUGUUGAGGAUAACUUCCUGGUCCAGGUACUAGAUGGACCGGCCCGAGGUGAAGCUUUACUGGACCUGGUGCUCACCAAUGUGGAGGAGAGCAUUAGAGGGGUUAAGAUGGGAGGUAGCCUGGGCUGUACUGAUGAUGCACUGGUGGAAUUUGUGAUCUGGAGGAAUGCAAGCCUGGCAAAGAGUGGAGUCAGGACCCUGAACUUCAGGAGAGUGAACUUCCGCUGCUCAAGGAACUGCUGGGUGAGAUCCCCUGGGAAACUGUCUGUCAUGGUAUUGUCUAAGGAUCUGCGUCCGUGACAAGGGGGGACAGGCCCAAAAGAAAAAAAACGAGAAAGGAAGAAGGAAAGAAAAAAAAAAAUCGCCGGCGAUAA